CUUUAAGGCGACGGAGCUAACCACGACACAACGCUACGCUGUCAAAAUUCGCGCACAAUUAAGUACACACUGUGUACACAACUAUGCGAAUUGACACACAGCACAAGGAGCUACAACUGGAGAGCAAAGACCCGCCCCUAGGGAGGGCGUAUACACGUUUGAGAGCAUUUAAUUGGAUGAAAACAAGACUAGUACAAACUGAGUCAUCAAAAAUUUUAGUCAUGUUUUAUGAGUGACAAACUGGAACAAGGAAACGAAACACUUUUCAUGAUACGCUAAUUGUACUGUGGUCUAUAACACUAAGGAGAAGCAACACCGGACAACCAACCACUCACUGAGGCCGCCAUUAUACAGCUCGCGAGCAGAGCCCAGGGUUGCCAGAUCUAUGCGGUACAAACUCAGAAAUCAGAAUCAGAAACACUUUGAUUGCCAGGGGAGACCGGAGCACCCGGAGGAAACCCACGCGGACACGGAGAGAACAUGCAAACUCCGCACAGAAAGGCCCUCGCCGGCCACGGGGCUCGAACCCGGACCUUCUUGCUGUGAAGCGACAGCGCUAACCACUACACCACCGUGCCACCCCUGUGUGUGUGUGUAUGUAUGUGUGUAUAUAUAUAUAUAUAUAUAUAUGAGUGUUUAGUCUACGUCUAGUUCAUAUCUAGAGUGUUUAUACUGUUUAUAUUGUCUGAGUGUUUAGUCUGUGUGUAGUUCUUAUCUAGUGUUUACACUGUUUAUAUUGUCUCAGUGUUUAGUCUGUGUUGUUCUUAUCUAGUGUUUAUACUGUUUAUUUAUACUGUUUAUAUUGUUUGAGUGUUUAGUCUAUGUCUAGUUCCUAUCUAGAGUGUUUAUACUGUUUAUAUUGUUUGUUUUUUUCAAUUAUUCUAUUUUUAUUUAUUCCAUUGCCUGUGUGCACCGUGGGUCAGAGAGGACUCAUAUUUCAU
This is a long non-coding RNA of Neoarius graeffei (lesser salmon catfish), 941 nucleotides long. RefSeq lists it as uncharacterized. Lineage: Eukaryota; Metazoa; Chordata; Actinopteri; Siluriformes; Ariidae. The transcript is spliced from 3 exons. The record is from RefSeq and is a predicted model, not a curated record.